This 74-nucleotide microRNA precursor is filed under the name Bombyx mori (domestic silkworm). RNAcentral describes it as "mir-2807 microRNA precursor family". It matches the Rfam family "mir-2807 microRNA precursor family". The record is from Rfam by way of RNAcentral. Lineage: Eukaryota; Metazoa; Arthropoda; Insecta; Lepidoptera; Bombycidae.
CUAACUCAAAUUUGUGUGGAGUUGGAACUUUUGCCGCUAGGGGCGCUGUUCGAACUGCAUACAAAUUUGAGUUA